Molecule: ribosomal RNA, 455 nt
Filed under: uncultured bacterium
Lineage: Bacteria
Description: bacterial SSU rRNA
Rfam family: Bacterial small subunit ribosomal RNA
Source: RNAcentral
UACGGAAGGCAGCAGUGGGGAAUAUUGCACAAUGGGCGAAAGCCUGAUGCAGCUAUGCCGCGUGUAUGAAGAAGGCCUUAGGGUUGUAAAGUACUUUCAUCGGGGAGGAAAAACAAAACUAAUAAUUUUAUUUCUUGACGUUACCCGAAAAAGAAGCACCGGCUAACUCCGUGCCAGCAGCCGCGGUAAUACGGAGGGUGCUAGCGUUAAUCAGAAUUACUGGGCGUAAAGAGCACGUAGGUGGUUUUUUUAAGUCAGAUGUGAAGUCCCUGGGCUUAACCUAGGAACUGCAUUUUGAAACUGAAAUACUAGAGUAUCGUAGAGGGAGGUAGAAUUCUAGGUGUAGCGGUGAAAUGCGUAGAUAUCUGGAGGAAUACCUGUGGCGAAAGCGGCCUCCUAAACGAAUACUGACACUGAGGUGCGAAAGCGUGGGGAGCAAACAGGGAUUAGAUACC